RNAcentral lists this ribosomal RNA (363 nucleotides) under Triticum aestivum (bread wheat). RNAcentral describes it as "partial small subunit ribosomal RNA". Lineage: Eukaryota; Viridiplantae; Streptophyta; Magnoliopsida; Poales; Poaceae. The record is from RNAcentral.
AUGGGGUUUCGUGACCCCCAUCAGUUCAAUCUUGCGCUACUCGGAAAGCACGGUUGGCGCUUUAUGACUAACCCUAAUUCUUUGUGUGCAAGAGUAAUGAAGGGCCGUUACUUUCCUGACACAGAUUUCUUGCAUGCAACCGUUCCAAAAUCAGCGUCAGCUACUUGGCGAGCUAUCAUUGCUGGGAGGGAAGCAUUGCAAGCGGGCCUUAUCAAAAGAGUGGGAACUGGAAGUUCCAUUCACGUGUGGCAUGACAAGUGGAUUCCCAGAACUAUAUCCAUGUCACCAUUGCUGCAACCUCCAAACACCACGGUUCAGACAGUCUCGCACCUCAUCGAUUACGAGAACUGGACGUGGAGAUAG